RNAcentral lists this ribosomal RNA (466 nucleotides) under uncultured bacterium. RNAcentral's name for it is "partial 16S ribosomal RNA". It matches the Rfam family "Bacterial small subunit ribosomal RNA", at positions 29 to 523 of the family's 1533-position model. The record is from RNAcentral.
AACGAACGCUGGCGGUAUGCUUAACACAUGCAAGUCGAACGAACAAAAUUGGGGCUUGCUCCAAUUUUAGUGAGUGGCAAACGGGUGAGCAACACGUGGGAAUCUACCUAUCAGUACGGAAUAACAUUUGGAAACAGAUGCUAAUACCGUGUAUUCUCCAAGGAGGAAAGAUUUAUCGCUGAUAGAUGAGCCCGCGUAAGAUUAGGUAGUUGGUAGGGUAAUGGCCUACCAAGCCGACGAUCUUUAGCUGGUCUGAGAGGAUGAUCAGCCACACUGGGACUGAGACACGGCCCAGACUCCUACGGGAGGCAGCAGUGGGGAAUAUUGGACAAUGGGCGAAAGCCUGAUCCAGCAAUACCGCGUGAAUGAUGAAGGCCUUAGGGUUGUAAAGUUCUUUUAGUUGGAAAGAUAAUGACGGUACCUACAGAAAAAGCCCCGGCUAACUCCGUGCCAGCAGCCGCGGUAA